UUGGGUGUUUUAUGGUUUUUAUUGUUCAGCGUACUCUUUGCAAACAUUAGUCUGGUCCAUCAGUUUGAGUUCUGAGAUUAUAUUGUUUCUACUCAAUUGUUAAAGUGGGAAAGCAAAGCAGACAUGUUCAUUUUAAAAUUACAUAUGCCUACAUUCUAAAUGAUUCUUAAACAAGUUGAUUAUGUGCUUGUAAGGAUGACUUCAUUGACCGUUUUGGCCAGAACUUAUUUUGUACGUUUUAGGGACCAUGCAUUGCCUAGCUCAACCAAUAGAAGCUAUCACACAUCACAAGUCGCUUGAAUUCGUUCAUUGUUAAUGGCAGGUACCAAUGUUCAUUUGUCAAUACGUUCGUUGGCCACCUUUAUUUAGAUUUAAGAAUAUAAAAGAGUACUGUUUGGCUAUAACUGUCCCCAAUAUUGUCAUAUUGUUAUUGCUGUGGAGGACAAAAAGAUUAGGGCCUAAGUCAUGUACCGGAAGUUAAGACCAGUCAUUCAGUUUGUCUCGUACUGACCAGUCGUUCAGUU
Biomphalaria pfeifferi is the source of this 524-nucleotide non-coding RNA. The record is from the annotation of a GenBank genome assembly. NCBI's taxonomy places the organism in Eukaryota, Metazoa, Mollusca, Gastropoda, Planorbidae.